AUGAGACUCCAAGAAGCUCGUCAGGAACGACCAGCUGAAGCGCGCGUGCACGCAAAUCCGGCGGCCUCGACUCCUUCAAAUAGUCUCAUGAAAAAUUUGUGCUCAAUUUCUACCGAAGGCACAAAAUCUCGAGCCCGCUCUCGCUCCCCGUCGCCGCCCCCGCCGGCCCUCCUCAUCGCCGCCCCCGCCGGCCCUCCUCAUCGUCGCUCCUCGUUGCCCUCCUCGUCGCUGCUGUUAGCCGCCGCGCCGCCCCCUGUGAGCCACCGCCGCCGCCCUGCCCCGGCCCCUCUGUUUUUUUUCUUUCAUGAUUUUUCAUGCUGA
Molecule: ribosomal RNA, 321 nt
Filed under: Triticum aestivum (bread wheat)
Lineage: Eukaryota; Viridiplantae; Streptophyta; Magnoliopsida; Poales; Poaceae
Description: partial small subunit ribosomal RNA
Source: RNAcentral